UCGGGAAUUUUGGGCAAUGGGCGAAAGCCUGACCCAGCAACGCCGCGUGAAGGAUGAAGUAUUUCGGUAUGUAAACUUCGAAAGAAUAGGAAGAAUAAAUGACGGUACUAUUUAUAAGGUCCGGCUAACUACGUGCCAGCAGCCGCGGUAAUACGUAGGGACCAAGCGUUGUUCGGAUUUACUGGGCGUAAAGGGCGCGUAGGCGGCAAUUCAAGUCAUCUGUGAAAUCUCCGGGCUUAACUCGGAACGGUCAGAUGAUACUGCUUUGCUAGAGUGCAGAAGGGGCAAUCGGAAUUCUUGGUGUAGCGGUGAAAUGCGUAGAUAUCAAGAGGAACACCUGAGGUGAAGACGGGUUGCUGGGCUGACACUGACGCUGAGGCGCGAAAGCUAGGGUAGCAAACGGGAUUAGAUACCCUUGUAGUCCCUGAGCGGGCUGGCAAGGCGCAU
This 447-nucleotide ribosomal RNA is filed under the name uncultured bacterium. Its description in RNAcentral is "bacterial SSU rRNA". It matches the Rfam family "Bacterial small subunit ribosomal RNA", at positions 355 to 825 of the family's 1533-position model. The record is from RNAcentral.